GUGUGGUUGCCAGCAACAGUUUUACUCGCAUUUAAUCGAAAAUGUGACGGACGAAGAGAAGAGCGGCACGGAAGCCAACAGUCCCAAGCAUGAGGAAGAACCCGUAGCAAAUGCAAGCCAUGUAACCGAAAAAGAAAGAUGUUUGCAUGAAACCAGACAUGUCUGAUCUCGCAUAGUAAUAGUAUAAACAGUACGCGUAGAUAAACAAACCAGUCGACCCACCGCAUAGGAAUGAUUUGCAAAUAAAGAUUAAAAGAUUCAAAAUCUCUGCGAAGGAUGUAAUAAAAGUGCAGCAACGUGAUCUUACCUCCACCACCCUUCGUGAUCUUCAGCGGCGAGUUGGAAGUAAGUGAGGGCAACGGUUAUAAAAGCGGUAACGAUCAAUAGGAUGAUAAAGACGAUGAUGAGGAUGCUGUAAAUGGUGUAGAUCCGAUGGCCC
RNAcentral lists this long non-coding RNA (439 nucleotides) under Brassica rapa (field mustard). RNAcentral describes it as "long non-coding RNA (BRAP_LNC001444)". The record is from RNAcentral. Lineage: Eukaryota; Viridiplantae; Streptophyta; Magnoliopsida; Brassicales; Brassicaceae.